This 253-nucleotide ribosomal RNA is filed under the name uncultured bacterium. RNAcentral's name for it is "partial 16S ribosomal RNA". It matches the Rfam family "Bacterial small subunit ribosomal RNA", at positions 524 to 776 of the family's 1533-position model. The record is from RNAcentral.
UACGUAGGGUGCGAGCGUUAUCCGGAUUCACUGGGUUUAAAGGGUGCGUAGGUGGGCAUGUAAGUCAGUGGUGAAAUCUCUGAGCUUAACUCAGAAACUGCCAUUGAUACUAUGUUUCUUGAAUUUUCUGGAGGUCAGCGGAAUAUGUCAUGUAGCGGUGAAAUGCUUAGAUAUGACAUAGAACACCAAUUGCGAAGGCAGCUGGCUACAGGGAUAUUGACACUGAGGCACGAAAGCGUGGGGAUCAAACAGG